Molecule: ribosomal RNA, 497 nt
Filed under: uncultured bacterium
Lineage: Bacteria
Description: partial 16S ribosomal RNA
Rfam family: Bacterial small subunit ribosomal RNA
Source: RNAcentral
GAUGAACGCUGGCGGCGUGCCUAAUACAGGCAAGUCGAGCGAACAGACGAGGAGCUUGCUCCUCUUACGUUAGCGGCGGACGGGUGAGUAACACGUGUAUAACCUACCUAUAAGACUGGGAUAACUUCGUGAAACCGGAUCUAAUACCGGAUAAUAUAUUGAACCGCAUGGUUCAAUAGUGAAAGACGGUUUUGCUGUCACUUAUAGAUGUAUCCGCGCCGCAUUAGCUAGUUGGUAAGGUAACGGCUUACCAAGGCAACGAUGCGUAGCCGACCUGUGAGGGUGAUCGGCCACCCGGGAACUGAGACACGGUCCAGACUCCUACGGGAGGCAGCAGUAGGGAAUCUUCCGCAAUGGGCGAAAGCCUGACGGAGCAACGCCGCGUGAGUGAUGAAGGUCUUCGGAUCGUAAAACUCUGUUAUUAGGGAAGAACAAAUGUGUAAGUAACUAUGAACGUCUUGACGGUACCUAAUCAGAAAGCCACGGCUAACUACGUG